UACGAAGGGGGCUAGCGUUGCUCGGAAUCACUGGGCGUAAAGCGCACGUAGGCGGCUUUUUAAGUCAGGGGUGAAAUCCUGGAGCUCAACUCCAGAACUCCCUUUGAUACUGAGAAGCUUGAGUCCGGGAGAGGUGAGUGGAACUGCGAGUGUAGAGGUGAAAUUCGUAGAUAUUCGCAAGAACACCAGUGGCGAAGGCGGCUCACUGGCCCGGUACUGACGCUGAGGUGCGAAAGCGUGGGGAGCAAACAGG
This 253-nucleotide ribosomal RNA is filed under the name uncultured bacterium. RNAcentral describes it as "partial 16S ribosomal RNA". It matches the Rfam family "Bacterial small subunit ribosomal RNA", at positions 524 to 776 of the family's 1533-position model. The record is from RNAcentral.